Chiloscyllium plagiosum (whitespotted bambooshark) is the source of this 2030-nucleotide non-coding RNA. NCBI's taxonomy places the organism in Eukaryota, Metazoa, Chordata, Chondrichthyes, Orectolobiformes, Hemiscylliidae. The record is from RefSeq and is a predicted model, not a curated record.
CAAGAAUUGUAGAGUAACAGAGGAACAUUGAAGUGGAAUGCCCACAGAUCUCUGAAGGAUGAAUUCCUGCUUUAGCAAGUUACCAGUUGAAGAACUAUCAGCUUCAUCUGGCACUGGAGCUACAGGCAACCCCACCAUGCCAUGAAACCCAUUGUCAUUUGAUCAUGAAGAAACUAUUUUCAGAAAAGUAAACCAGGGAACCUGGCAGUCACUUGGGCUGAAAGCCAUACCUUGUGCUCCAAGCAAAAGAAACCACCCAAGACAACCUCGACAUGACUAUUUCUGAAUUAAAGUGCCUUUGCUCAGAGUUAUAAUGCAGCUUUCACAAAUCUACCUGACAAACUGUACUCAGAAAGAAAUAUUCACUUUCAAAUUUGCAACUGCUUCAAACAAAAUCCAAAUUUGGAACUGCUUCAAACAAAACCCAAAUUUGGAACUGCUUCAAAUAAAACUAGCAGCAAGAGGCACAGCAGAGCAAAUCUCACUGAAUAUAUGGGCACCAGAAAUGAUGGUCACAUUCAUUUCAAAUGUAAACACUAUAAAUGUUGCUCGUAGCUGACAUGUUUGAUGAAAAGACCUUAUGUUUUACAGUUCCACCUUAAAGUAAAAUACUGAUGUGGUAUUCCCACCUUCGGAAAAAUAAAGAUGGAAUAACAGUUUCAAUCAGAAGACCUUCAUAUAUCUCAAAUCCAGUCCCCACCCCACAAUCAUCUGUACAUUUUUUCUUUGUGCAUUUGUAAUAGCCCUGAAUUCUGUUUGUCGAAAAGAGCCUAUUUCUUUCUUGUUUCAUCACCUUGGCAACCAUUUCAUUUUAUUAUCAGUCCUUAAGUUAAAGGAUACAGUCUGCUUUUCCUAUUUUGUUGCCAUUAGUUUAUACAUAUGGCCCCUUAAUGCUUAAAUUCUGUGCAGAACAGAAAAGCUCUGUUAAGCCAAAUUGUUUGGACUUCAUUUCUUAAAACUGAGCCCAGUUUUUAAAGAUUUCAGCGCACUAUUCGUUGCUCUAAUCUCAAAGGAUUGAUGUUGCCGACAAUAUUUAAAUUACAAAUGCUCAAAACAAGUGCAAUAUACCGGAUGGUCUGGAACAUUUGAGCAAAACACUAAUUGAUGUACCAGUAGGUUGCCUCAACUUUAUUCAGGUCAGAUCUAAGAUUGACCCAGAACAGGACAGAAACUUGGCUAUUAAACCUGCAGAGAAUAUGGUCAAAAUCAGUCUUCUUUGCCCAAGACAAUUUAUGAACCUGACUGCUAUCCAGAUCAGAUGACUUUAUGGAAGAAUCAAAUCCGAAAACUUUUAAUUUGUGAGGUAUUCUGCCUUUACAAAAUGAAGCAGAGAGAGAACUCAGCACCAAUGUCUGCUGCACCAAGUGCUGUCUGAGGCAGCAUGCAAAUAUAAAAUUAAUCCGAUUCUGGAAGUUUUGUCAUGGUUGUCAGGUAGAAUUACGUUUCUUUUAAAACAAAAAGGAGAAAAAGAAAGCAGUCAUAUUAUCUGGAAAUGAUUUCCUGCCUUCUGAUAAUCACCUAAUAGGGAUUAGUAACUUACAGAGGCAGGAAAUAAAAAUUAUUGAAUAAAAUGAAAACAUGUUAUUGUCUAUAACAUAAUUAAUAUUUUUUAGGUUAAAAUUGUUUGUUAAAAAAUGAAUUGCCCAAACUUUACAAGUAACAGCUGUAACAUAUAUAGUGGAAAGAGCAAGUUUGUGAUUCCUCAAUAUAAAUCAACUUGCCUGGAUCCAACUGACAAUAUGGAAUAUAAAGGAAUGGGGGAAUAAGUAUCCUUCUACUCGCCAUGCUUAUUUUCAUGAUAUUUUUCUUUAUUCGUAAGACGUUUAAACAUAUUAGAACCGUCAUAUAUUUUCCACUAUUUUAUUUUAUUCUUUUUCUUAUUUUUAAUUUGGAGCUGUGAAUUGUGAGUUGAGACCUAAAAGGCGACCUUGGGAUUGUGAGCAGCAGCUUGUGUUUAUAAAAGAAAAACAAACUUUAUUUUGUUUUUAAAGCCAGACCUGAAGGUUAAUUGCUGGUAUUUCUUGUUUUAA